CAGAAGCCAGCACAAUCUUUCCAAACUCUCAGAUUAAGGAGGUGAUGUUUUUUGAUACUGGAAAUUAUGGCUGUUAUAGUUUCUGGAGUCCCACAUUUUUCAAAGAGAUAACAUUAAUAUGUGAAGGAGAAGUUGGAUGAUGAGAUGCAUAGUAACCACUGCAAAGAGACAAAAAUGUUUAAUAAAUUCUGGCCCCUUUCUUCAAAACCCAUUAAAAGUAUACUUAUGGAAAUUUUGUCAUAAAGAAUAGAACACUAGGCUUCAAGGUUAGAAUGUUCAACAACUAGGAAUUCCUUGUGACCUGACCAGCUAACACUGGGCCUAGAUGACAGGAGGAGAAAAACUAUGGAUUCCAUGAAAGUUAAUAAAGAUUAGACUUGACCAGAAGAGACCUUCUGAAAAUCUUGGCUGCAGACUGAAGGAAGAAACCAAGAAGAACAACAAAACAGGGAUGUUCUUGCGACAUUGAACCUAUUCACGCAGAACUCAACGUGAUAAAUAUCAAGCCACACAGUUCACAUUUACUGAUGAAAGAUUAUAUACAGUCAAUCAGAAGACCUUCUCUGACCUUGAAUUCUAAAAUAAAUGUGUCAUCAAAGAUAAAGUAUAUUAAAUAGCAAAAUAGAAAAUGAAAUUAAGGAAAACUUUGAAAGCAAAUGUGUUCUAUGUAUUAUUCCUUACAAUGUUCUUUAGCCAGGAAAAUGAGAAAAUACAGGUCCACAACAAAAAUUGUUAGUGAUUGCUGACUGGAAUGGAUCAAAUGAAAUUAGUGGAUCUAGUACUUCAGGAAUGCACCUUUGAAUUUUUAUACAUAGAUAGAAUGACAAAAGUACUUUAUGAUGAGAAACUAUCAUUUUCUUUAGAACCUUCUUGGAUAAUAGCUUUAAAGUUAGAUUUUUGCAAAACAAGGUGGUAAAAGAUAAUCAGCAGAGUAAAUAUCUCCAUAAGUUGUAUAAAAUAUUUAUAGUCCCUAUUAUAAACAGAAGUAGGGUGGUUAGGUUAGAUGAAUAACCCAACUAACACAGAGGAAAAUCACAUAAAAGAAUUGAGAGGAAGGACUGAAGACUG
Molecule: small RNA, 1068 nt
Filed under: Rattus norvegicus (Norway rat)
Lineage: Eukaryota; Metazoa; Chordata; Mammalia; Rodentia; Muridae
Description: uncharacterized LOC108350149
Source: RNAcentral